UGAGGAAGCCGGUGCGAGUCCGGCGCGGUCCCGCCACUGUCACCGGGCCUGCCCACCGAGGCCGGCCAGGGAGCCAGACACUC
This 83-nucleotide non-coding RNA is filed under the name Kibdelosporangium phytohabitans. Lineage: Bacteria; Bacillati; Actinomycetota; Actinomycetes; Pseudonocardiales; Pseudonocardiaceae. The record is from RNAcentral.